GCCAUGUGGGCGGGAGGCAGAGGGCAGAGUGACGCUGCUGUGCCCGAGGAAAGCCUGGGGCCACAGGAGCUGGAGAGACCGUGAGCCCCAGAGACCUCGGAGGGCUCGGUCCGCCAACGCCCCGACGCCAGCCUUCCAGCCUCCGGAGCCGAGACAGGCUUCCUGUUGCCAUCAGGCCCCAGCUCGUGCCUCUAGGUCCCGCCAGCCCCAGGAGAGGAAAACAACCGAACAGAGCUGUAUCUGCACAGGCCGAUCUUAGCGAGCACGGUGCCCAGGCACACGGCGAGGAACCAGGCUGCCCGAGAUAAGACAGGGACGUUCAUAAGGUAUUUGACAGGGACCGCGGUCAAUGCUGCAGCCAUCACACGCCAGCGUACGCUAAGGACCAGACGGGACAAGCCGGUGCUGUCAAAAUGUACAGCACGAACGUGCCCCUGAGUCCGCAGGCGGUGCUGCCACCAUCCCGACCCGAUCCGGCCGAGGACCACAGAGAGGCUGGGCGCUAAGAGCGCAGCCCUGACAGAGCCUCGCUGGACGCCCGGCUGCGGAAGACG
Molecule: long non-coding RNA, 554 nt
Organism: Myotis myotis
Lineage: Eukaryota; Metazoa; Chordata; Mammalia; Chiroptera; Vespertilionidae
Exons: 3
Source: RefSeq, a predicted model, not a curated record